AUGACCCAUUCUGCUUGUAUUAGGAAAAGACACUUACAGGGGCUGAAGCAUGAUUUCUGCAAUUGCUUUUCACGUUUUAUAUCUUUUUCUGCAACAUUUCCAAAAUUCUUCAUAAUAUCUUUAAAGUGCCUGAGGUACCCAAGAAACCUGUCCCAGAAGAGAAGAAACCUGUUCCUGUUCCCAAAAAGAAGGAAGCCCCACCAGCAAAAGUGCCUGAGAUUCCUAAGAAGCCUGAGGAGAAGGUUCCCGUGCCCAUUCCUAAGAAAGAGAAGGCUCCACCAGCUAAAGUCCCUGAGAUACCCAAGAAACCUGUACCAGAGGAGAAAGUGCCAGCACCAGUUCCCAAAAAGGAGGAAGCUCCACCUGCCAAAGUGCCGGAAGUGCCCAAGAAACCUGUGCCUGAGAAGAAGGUGCCGGUUCCUGCUCCUAAGAAAGUAGAGGCUCCACCAGCAAAAGGUACAUCGCUUCACCGUGUAAAGUCCAUGGGAAAAAAACCUUACAUUUACAUAUGCAUGCAUGCGUGCUCAGUCACUUUAGUUAGUCCAACCCUUUGCGACCCCAUAGACUGAAGCCCGCCAGGCUCCUCUGUCCAUGGGGAUUCUCCAGGCAAGAAUACUGGAGUGGGUUGUCAUGCCCUUCUCCAUGGAAUCUUCCCAACCCAGAGAUCGAACCCAAGUCUCCUGCAUUGCAGGCGAAUUCUUUAGCAUGAGCCACUGGGGAAGCCCAACAUUUAUAUAUAUAUAUAUUCAUAUAUAAACUCUCCCAUAACAUUAUGUGGUUUAAACAAUUAUCUGUCUUACUAGAAAUAUUAAAGUCAGAUAUUUCGUGAUUCCUUUUAUGUCUGUUGCUCUAACACAUGUAAAAGAACACAUUCUUAAAGAAAAAUAAUGUCUUUAAAGUGCCAGAGGUGCCCAAAAAGGUCCUCCCAGAAGAAAAGAAGCCAACACCUAUUCCGAAAAAAGUGGAGGCUCCUCCGCCCAAAGGUACAUUAAUCUCUAACAAACUCAAAACAAAAAGGCAAACUAACUGGCAUUCUACAGCCUCACUAAUUAUAAUGACUUAUGUUGGUAACAGUUGAUGCUUUUUGACUACAGAAUAUUAGCUUUUCAUGUUGUCCCACUGUUUU
Molecule: long non-coding RNA, 1126 nt
Filed under: Cervus hanglu yarkandensis (Yarkand deer)
Lineage: Eukaryota; Metazoa; Chordata; Mammalia; Artiodactyla; Cervidae
Description: lncRNA (ENSCHYG00000023524.1)
Source: RNAcentral